UUCCUUUGGGGGAGGGGACGCGCGCACAGUUUCGCCUGUUUCGCUCGCGCUGUCUCAUCGCUGUGUGAGAAUGGAGGUUUCAUGAUGUCAGCAGAAGGUCACGUGAGAGCAGGUGGCAACAUAUUUGAGGUUUGCAUUGACUGUCUUUGAAAACUGCUGGACAGAUACUUGCAUAACUACAUGCCAUGUGCCACCAGUCACCCUUCACAAGGGAAGAGGAAACUUCACAUGUGGCUGGAUAGGCCUAGCUCCCUGAGCUCCAGAUUGUAGUUGAAUUACACUAAGGCAGAAGAGGGAAUGCCAUGCUACACCAGCACAUUCCCACAAAAGAUCUCUUUCCUUGGCUUCAGCAAAAUACCGAAAGAGAUUGCAUUCAGGGGAAGGUUUAUCCCUGGCAAACACUGUCCAGAACCCCCGGCGAUAUUGCCAUCUUCUUGUAUUGUAUUCUCCUCUG
Clupea harengus (Atlantic herring) is the source of this 454-nucleotide long non-coding RNA. The record is from Ensembl. Lineage: Eukaryota; Metazoa; Chordata; Actinopteri; Clupeiformes; Clupeidae.